Molecule: ribosomal RNA, 236 nt
Filed under: uncultured bacterium
Lineage: Bacteria
Description: partial 16S ribosomal RNA
Rfam family: Bacterial small subunit ribosomal RNA
Source: RNAcentral
GAUCAUGGCUCAGGAUGAACGCUAGCUACAGGCUUAACACAUGCAAGUCGAGGGGCAGCAUGAAAGGAACUUCGGUUCUUUUUGAUGGCGACCGGCGCACGGGUGCGUAACGCGUAUCGAACCUGCCUCAUACUCGGGGAUAGCCUUGCGAAAGUAAGAUUAAUACCCGGCGGUCUCGGAUGGCCACAUGACUAUCCGAGUGAAGAUUUACCGGUAUGAGAUGGCGAUGCGUCCCA